UACAGAGGUGGCAAGCGUUGUUCGGAAUUACUGGGCGUAAAGGGUGCGUAGGCGGUCCGAUAAGUCCCGUGUGAAAGCCCCCGGCUCAACUGGGGAACUGCACGGGAAACUGACGGACUUGAGUUCGGGAGAGGGAAGCGGAAUUCCGGGUGUAGCGGUGAAAUUCGUAGAUAUCGAGAGGAACACCGGUGGCGAAGGCGGCGAUCUGGACGAUGACUGACGCUGAGACGCGAAAGCGUGGGGAGCAAACAGG
Molecule: ribosomal RNA, 253 nt
Filed under: uncultured bacterium
Lineage: Bacteria
Description: partial 16S ribosomal RNA
Rfam family: Bacterial small subunit ribosomal RNA
Source: RNAcentral